RNAcentral lists this unclassified non-coding RNA (387 nucleotides) under soil metagenome. Its description in RNAcentral is "partial contains 5.8S ribosomal RNA, internal transcribed spacer 2, and large subunit ribosomal RNA". The stretch from base 1 to 120 matches the Rfam family "5.8S ribosomal RNA", at positions 35 to 154 of the family's 154-position model. The record is from RNAcentral.
GAUGGAGAACGUAGCGAAAUGCGAUAAGUAAUGUGAAUUGCAGAAUUCAGUGAAUCAUCGAAUCUUUGAACGCACCUUGCGCUCCUUGGUAUUCCGAGGAGCAUGCCUGUUUGAGUGUCAUGAAAUUCUCAAACCCAUAAGUCUUUGCGGGCUUACGGGCUUUGGACUUGGAGGCUUGUCGGCGACCGUAAAGUCACAUCGACUCCUCUCAAAUGCAUUAGCUUGAUUCCUUGCGGAUCGGCUCUCGGUGUGAUAAUUGUCUACGCCGUGACCGUGAAGCGUUUUGGCAAGCUUCUAACCGUCUCUAACGAGACAGCUUACUUUGACCUCUGACCUCAAAUCAGGUAGGACUACCCGCUGAACUUAAGCAUAUCAAUAAGCGGAGGA